UGAUUGAUUUUGUUAUAUUGUAUAAUGUUUUAUCAAAUUUAUGAUGCAAUGAAAUUUUUAACUUAUUUUUUUAUACCAGUUAAUACAGUUAAAAAUUCUGAGAUUUUAUUCGUAUGCAUACAUGUAGCCUUAAACUGUGACUCAUUUUAGAAAUAAUUUCAACUACAUAGAUAUAAGAAGAUGUUGUAUGAGUGCCAAUGGGACAACUCUCCAUCCAAGUCACAAUUUGUAAACCAUUAUAAGUCAAAGUACGGCCUUCAACACUAAGCCUUGGCUCACAGCAAGCUAUAAAGGGCUCAAAAAAUGACUAGUGUAAAACAAUACAAACAGGAAGACCAACGGUCUAAUCUAUAUAAAAAACGAGAAACGAGAAACACGUAUGAACCACAUCAACAAAUGACAACCACUGAACAUUUAGUUCCUGACUUACGACAGGUGCAAACAAAUGCAGCGGGUUUAAACGUUUUAAUAGGCGCCAUCCUUCACCCUACCAAAAACAAUAGUGUAACAUCACAACAUAGAAACACACACUAUAAAAUAUCAAUUGAAAUGGCAUGUUUUGAUUUGAUUUCAUUGCAACAAAUGGAUGCUCAAUAUUUCUUGUUAUAAAUUCUUAUUUUCACUCCCUGCAGGCACACUUUGUUGAAUCAACGUUGAAUCUUUGUUGAUUUUAGGUUAUACAUUGAUCAACAAUUAUUCAACAUUGAUUCAACGUUGACAAUUCAACGUUGAAAUUAGAACAUUGUUUCAACGUUGAAUUAACAUUGUGUUGAAACACCAACAUUGAAUCAACGUUGGCUAAACAAUAUAUAAAACCCAGUAGUUGUGGAUACCAGAAUUGUCAAAAAAGAAGUAUUGGGCACAUCACAAUUCUUUUUAAAUUGACAACGAUAUUCACAUAAAAUAGAAUAUUCAGUAGAUUUAUCGCUAAUUGUCGUGGUGAUUGUAGAAUUAUAUAUAAAACAAUCGCAGUGUAUAUCAGCAUAAAUUAAUCAUGAACUUUGCACCCCAAAUAAUAGAAAUUCCCAAAUUUCACCCCACCCCAAAACAUAAUAAAUUAAUAGAACCAGCUGGCAUACAGAAUCAUACAGUAAAUAUAAAUAUUUGUGAAUAACCCCUUCCCCUAAAAAUAUGCCCCCCUUUUUCCGUGGCUGCUGAUGUCAAAUAUCUUGUUUUCAUUCCUUUUUUUUCUUUUCUAUUCUUUUUAACAAUCUAAAGAGAAAGACGUAUACAUCAGUUCAUAAACAAUGGUUGAUAACUUGUAAUAUAAACAACCGAUAGAUCUAUUGGAAUAGUGAUUUAAAUUUUCGCGGCAUUUUAAACAUUUCUACUUUAAGACAAAUUCAGAUAUGCGCAUGCGCAGUUGUUUUUGUGCCCAAUUUUGAAUAUCCGCUUUCGAGACCACAAGGUGAUUCUACAGAGUUUUUAUCAAUAUCUUUCCUGUGUACAGCUUUUAUAUGUUAUCAUGUCAUCAUGAAGACCUAUGGAAUCACGGAACAACAAGUGUCUGACCAAACAACAACCUUUCUUAGAUGGGCUCCAAAAAGACAGGGUGGGCUAGAAGAAAGAAGUUGAAGUUUUCACUAUUAAUAAAUAAAUUUAUUUUAAUUUUA
Long non-coding RNA from Mytilus californianus (California mussel), 1613 nucleotides. RefSeq lists it as uncharacterized. NCBI's taxonomy places the organism in Eukaryota, Metazoa, Mollusca, Bivalvia, Mytilida, Mytilidae. The transcript is spliced from 2 exons. The record is from RefSeq and is a predicted model, not a curated record.